RNAcentral lists this long non-coding RNA (693 nucleotides) under Zonotrichia albicollis (white-throated sparrow). RNAcentral describes it as "lncRNA (ENSZALG00000003638.1)". Lineage: Eukaryota; Metazoa; Chordata; Aves; Passeriformes; Passerellidae. The record is from RNAcentral.
GGUGGGUGUGCUCGGUGUCUGCUCACAGCCGGCUGCUCCUCAGGGAGAGCUCAGAUCGGGAUGUUGGAAAUGUGCGGGAGGCUCUGACUGGGACUUGCUGUGGGAUAAAAUAUGAAAUUCUCCAGGCUGGCCAGCAGGGAAGAGAGCAUGAUUGGAUCCCUGCGCUCCACACUCACCGGAUUUUGAGUUUCUGCAAGGAUGGAAAAUCCCCCUGCUGUGGGAUAAGCUGCCCCGUGUGCGCCUGCCUCAGCAUGCUGAAAGCUCCCACCUGGAUUCCAACAUCACACCAGCUCCUGGCCAUCAAACCUCGCUAGAACUUUGUCUGCUCAACUCCAGAGCCUGCUCAGCUCUGCCCUGCUCCUGCAGCCCAUGAUCCCAUCCCUCUAAUGAGCUGAACGAGCCCAGCGAGGAGCUCCAGGCUCUGUCUAACACACCGGCCCUGUUGCAGAGCUCAGUGGUGCUGCCAGCAGCUCCCCCAUGGCUGCAGCCAGCGGCGAGGGGACAGCAGGGACCCGGCUGCUGCCAGCUGGCACUGCCCUGGCCCUGCUCGGUGGCCUGGUCUACCUGGGCACCCUGUGUGCUGCCUGCAAACGGAAGGGCAGGAAGAAGGUCGCUCCGGACGGGGUGAAGCUCGUGGAGGAGGCCCUGCUCUGCCAGACACAGCUGCGCUCACUCAGCAAGUCGGACACGAAG